AAAUUUAGAUAAUUGAUCCACCAAAUAAGAAAAAUCUCGCAUAGCCAAUAGGUUAGAAACGCGCGUAUACUAUUAGCUUAUAUAUGUAGAAAACAAUUAUGUAAUUAUUAUCGUUAUAACUUAUAGCUACAGAAAUUAAUGGAAGCAUGGCAAUAUAAGUUACAUUCACUAUACAAAAUUAAAAUAUACUUAAAUAUGAAUACUUAAAUACGCGAAAUAAUGUGUGACAGUCUUUAUAGUUAGAAUUUUGUAAACUGCUUAAGCCUAUAGUUUCCAUUUGGUCGUUAGUUGUCGCUGGCACGACAAGCGGUAGAUGUGAAAUAGUCUAAUAUAAUAAUAGUCUUUUUGUGUGUUAUAUGCAAAUCAGUCUUAAUGAUUGCAGAGUUUUAUAAAGUUUUGUUGACACUCUAUUACAUCAGCCACUUGUCGUGCCAGCGACAACUAACGACCAAAUAGAAACUAGGCUUUAAUGUUUUUAGUAUGUUACUUUCUAGUAAAUUGUAAUUCUCAAAAUUAUACAGUGUUUCGAUCAAUUCAAUGUAUUGUGCAAGUAUAUGCAUGACUGGUAUUAAUGCUGAAAACUAUAUAGGGGCCGCUGUUGCUGCAUGGAAACAUUG
Molecule: non-coding RNA, 617 nt
Organism: Paramuricea clavata
Lineage: Eukaryota; Metazoa; Cnidaria; Anthozoa; Malacalcyonacea; Plexauridae
Source: the annotation of a GenBank genome assembly